This 211-nucleotide unclassified non-coding RNA is filed under the name uncultured Inocybe. RNAcentral describes it as "sequence contains ITS1". The record is from RNAcentral. Lineage: Eukaryota; Fungi; Basidiomycota; Agaricomycetes; Agaricales; Cortinariaceae.
ACGAAUAAACUUGAACAGGCUGUUGCUAGCUCCCCCUGGGAGGCAUGUGCACGCUUGUCAUCUUUGUUUCUCCAACUGUGCACACAUUGUAGACCUUUCGGUUCGAGUUUGGGACUGCCAUCGCGGCCAGGGUCUAUGUCAUUUUUCACAAACCAAUGAAUUUGUUUAGAAUGUUGAAUCAGGUCCUUUUUGUACCUAUAAAAGUUAUAAA